CUCCUUUAGGAUGGAUUAGUUGGGUCUCCUUGCAAUCCAAGGGACUCUCAAGAGUCUUCUCCAACACCACAUUCAAAAGCAUCAAUUCUUUGGUGCUCAGCCUUCUCUAUGGUCCAACUCUCACAUCCAUACAUGACUACUG
This is a long non-coding RNA of Cervus elaphus (red deer), 142 nucleotides long. RefSeq lists it as uncharacterized. Lineage: Eukaryota; Metazoa; Chordata; Mammalia; Artiodactyla; Cervidae. The transcript is spliced from 2 exons. The record is from RefSeq and is a predicted model, not a curated record.